This 68-nucleotide transfer RNA is filed under the name Marmota monax (woodchuck). RNAcentral's name for it is "tRNA.Ala". The stretch from base 5 to 65 matches the Rfam family "tRNA", at positions 6 to 65 of the family's 71-position model. From Rfam's summary of the family: Transfer RNA (tRNA) molecules are approximately 80 nucleotides in length. The record is from RNAcentral. Lineage: Eukaryota; Metazoa; Chordata; Mammalia; Rodentia; Sciuridae.
GGAUUGUGGCUCAGCGAUAGAGUACUCGCCUAGCAUGUGGGAGGCUCUGGGUUCGAUCCUCAGCACCA